This is a non-coding RNA of Cajanus cajan (pigeon pea), 723 nucleotides long. The record is from RefSeq and is a predicted model, not a curated record. NCBI's taxonomy places the organism in Eukaryota, Viridiplantae, Streptophyta, Magnoliopsida, Fabales, Fabaceae.
GAAAGUGUUUUGAGGUACAUCCAUUCAUCAAAUUCUUAUAUAUAUAUAGCUGAAUUGAACUUGAAUCAUGUCAUGACAUUAACAUAUUGACAUGCAGGGAAUGUGUACAAUUUUGUUUGUUGGCCAUCUACAAAAUGUGUGGACUAUAUGACUACCUUUACAGUGAUGUUUGGUUUUCAUAUAGUACAGUACUUAUUUGACUGCCUCACUGUUAUAUUAUUAUUGUUUUAAUCAAGGGUAUUUCUUAGCUUUGAGUCAGAAACAAUAGCUUUUUAAAGAGAGAACAUUUUUAAUGGAUAUCAUCAUGAAAACAGAAAAUCUGACUACAUGGUUAAGAAGGGUAGUUAUCUGGUGAGCUAGAGAAAAAAAAUGGAGGGGAAGUUGGAUGCUACCAAUGCUUUUUUUCUUUAGGAAAAAGGUCUCACCCUAGAAGCGAUAACCGUAGACAUAAAGUGCAGAGGCUUAUGAAAACCUGGAGAAAAAGGGUUCAGCUUUGGAGAUAUUGAACUGGCAUGUUUAUUAUUUCUUGACUCUUCAUCAAAAAUUAGUGUGUGUGCUUGUGUGACACCUACUGACCUAAGUCUAUUAAUUAAAUACUACUUAGGCUAAUCUUAGGCAUGGUGAUUUUUGUGAGAGAGCUAGAAGCUAAGCUGACUCACAUAUAUUAUUAUAUUAUUUUACUGUUUCAAGUCAAUUCAAUGCAAUAUGAAAUGGUCCACUUAA